RNAcentral lists this long non-coding RNA (1232 nucleotides) under Sus scrofa (pig). Its description in RNAcentral is "lncRNA (ENSSSCG00015055668.1)". The record is from RNAcentral. Lineage: Eukaryota; Metazoa; Chordata; Mammalia; Artiodactyla; Suidae.
AUUCCUAGAAAACCAAAAAUAGAACUCACCCUAGAAGAAGUAGAUAACCUGAGUAGUUCUGUAACUCCUACUAAAGAAAUGGAAUUUGAGGUUAAAAUUCCAUCAAGAAGGAAUCUCCAGGCCCAGAUGGUUUAACUGGAAUUUACUACCUAAUAUUAAAAGAAGGAAAAAAAGCACCAAUUCUAUACAGUCUCUUCCAUAGAUAGAAGAGGAGAUAAAACUUCCCUCAUUCAUUUUAUAAAUCCAGAAUAAAGAUGAUACAAACACCAGAUGGUAAAAGAAGAAAGAGCCCUAGAAGACACAAAAAUCUUCAACAAAAUAUUACCAAAUCAAAUUCAAAAAAUAGAAACAGAAUAAUACAAUAUAACCAAGUACAGUUUUUUCUAAAAAUUCGUUGGUAUAAUCCACCACCUUGAUAGUUUAAAGAAUGAUGAUUAUUGAUUGAUGCAGAAAAAAAAUUAACAAAAUUUCACAUCAUUUGUGAUAGAAUCUCUCAGCAAACUAGAAAUAAAAGGGAACGUCUACAUGAUAAAAGUCCUCUACAAAAAAACCUACAUGUAAUUAUCAUGCCUAAUGUGAAAAGCUGAAUGUUUUUUCCCUAACAUUGGAAGCAAGGCAAGGGAAUACAUUCUCACCACUUAUUCCACAUUGUCCUGGCAGUCCUAGAAAGUACAGUAAAGCAAGGAAAGGAAAUGAAGAGCAUAUAUGCUAUAAAGGAAGUAAUAAAACUGCUAUUUGCAGAAGGCACCAUUGCUAUCAUCUAUGAAGAAAAUCUCAGGCUAUUUAAACUCCUAGAAUUUAAGUAAGCUUAGCGAAGUCACAGGAUACAAGAUGAUCACGCAAUAAUUAACAGUACUUCUAUAUACUAGCCAUGUAAAUUUUAUAAUAUUGGAAAUUAAAAAUCAAUAUUAUUUUUGAUAAUAGAAAUAAAAUGGGAAAAGUGAAAUACAGUUAAAUCUGACAAAAUAUGUACAGCUUCUGUUUACAAAAAUACUAAAAAAUGCUGAUGAAUGAAAUCAGAUAAGACCUAAAUAGAUGGAGAAGAAUACCUUGUUCAUGGACUGGAAUACUUAACAUAGUGAAGAUGCUAAUUCUCCCUAAAUUGAUUUAUAGGUUUUGUGCAUUUCCAAUAAUAGUCCAAGGAGAACUAUUUAAAUAUAUGGACAAGCUGAUUCUAAAAUAUAUGUAUAAAGGCAAAUGAAUCAGAACAACUGAAAAAGUUUGGAAAAAAA